Molecule: ribosomal RNA, 2929 nt
Filed under: Bacillus anthracis (anthrax bacterium)
Lineage: Bacteria; Bacillati; Bacillota; Bacilli; Caryophanales; Bacillaceae
Also listed under: 7 other names
Description: bacterial LSU rRNA
Rfam family: Bacterial large subunit ribosomal RNA
Source: RNAcentral
UUUGGUUAAGUUAGAAAGGGCGCACGGUGGAUGCCUUGACACUAGGAGUCGAUGAAGGACGGGACUAACGCCGAUAUGCUUCGGGGAGCUGUAAGUAAGCUUUGAUCCGAAGAUUUCCGAAUGGGGAAACCCACCAUACGUAAUGGUAUGGUAUCCUUACCUGAAUACAUAGGGUAAGGAAGACAGACCCAGGGAACUGAAACAUCUAAGUACCUGGAGGAAGAGAAAGCAAAUGCGAUUUCCUGAGUAGCGGCGAGCGAAACGGAACAUAGCCCAAACCAAGAGGCUUGCCUCUUGGGGUUGUAGGACAUUCUAUACGGAGUUACAAAGGAACGAGGUAGACGAAGCGACCUGGAAAGGUCCGUCGUAGAGGGUAACAACCCCGUAGUCGAAACUUCGUUCUCUCUUGAAUGUAUCCUGAGUACGGCGGAACACGUGAAAUUCCGUCGGAAUCUGGGAGGACCAUCUCCCAAGGCUAAAUACUCCCUAGUGAUCGAUAGUGAACCAGUACCGUGAGGGAAAGGUGAAAAGCACCCCGGAAGGGGAGUGAAAGAGAUCCUGAAACCGUGUGCCUACAAAUAGUCAGAGCCCGUUAACGGGUGAUGGCGUGCCUUUUGUAGAAUGAACCGGCGAGUUACGAUCCCGUGCGAGGUUAAGCUGAAGAGGCGGAGCCGCAGCGAAAGCGAGUCUGAAUAGGGCGUUUAGUACGUGGUCGUAGACCCGAAACCAGGUGAUCUACCCAUGUCCAGGGUGAAGUUCAGGUAACACUGAAUGGAGGCCCGAACCCACGCACGUUGAAAAGUGCGGGGAUGAGGUGUGGGUAGCGGAGAAAUUCCAAUCGAACCUGGAGAUAGCUGGUUCUCCCCGAAAUAGCUUUAGGGCUAGCCUUAAGUGUAAGAGUCUUGGAGGUAGAGCACUGAUUGGACUAGGGGUCCUCAUCGGAUUACCGAAUUCAGUCAAACUCCGAAUGCCAAUGACUUAUCCUUAGGAGUCAGACUGCGAGUGAUAAGAUCCGUAGUCAAAAGGGAAACAGCCCAGACCGCCAGCUAAGGUCCCAAAGUGUGUAUUAAGUGGAAAAGGAUGUGGAGUUGCUUAGACAACUAGGAUGUUGGCUUAGAAGCAGCCACCAUUUAAAGAGUGCGUAAUAGCUCACUAGUCGAGUGACUCUGCGCCGAAAAUGUACCGGGGCUAAAUACACCACCGAAGCUGCGGAUUGAUACCAAUGGUAUCAGUGGUAGGGGAGCGUUCUAAGGACAGUGAAGUCAGACCGGAAGGACUGGUGGAGUGCUUAGAAGUGAGAAUGCCGGUAUGAGUAGCGAAAGACGGGUGAGAAUCCCGUCCACCGAAUGCCUAAGGUUUCCUGAGGAAGGCUCGUCCGCUCAGGGUUAGUCAGGACCUAAGCCGAGGCCGACAGGCGUAGGCGAUGGACAACAGGUUGAUAUUCCUGUACCACCUCUUUAUCGUUUGAGCAAUGGAGGGACGCAGAAGGAUAGAAGAAGCGUGCGAUUGGUUGUGCACGUCCAAGCAGUUAGGCUGAUAAGUAGGCAAAUCCGCUUAUCGUGAAGGCUGAGCUGUGAUGGGGAAGCUCCUUAUGGAGCGAAGUCUUUGAUUCCCCGCUGCCAAGAAAAGCUUCUAGCGAGAUAAAAGGUGCCUGUACCGCAAACCGACACAGGUAGGCGAGGAGAGAAUCCUAAGGUGUGCGAGAGAACUCUGGUUAAGGAACUCGGCAAAAUGACCCCGUAACUUCGGGAGAAGGGGUGCUUUCUUAACGGAAAGCCGCAGUGAAUAGGCCCAAGCGACUGUUUAGCAAAAACACAGCUCUCUGCGAAGCCGUAAGGCGAAGUAUAGGGGGUGACACCUGCCCGGUGCUGGAAGGUUAAGGAGAGGGGUUAGCGUAAGCGAAGCUCUGAACUGAAGCCCCAGUAAACGGCGGCCGUAACUAUAACGGUCCUAAGGUAGCGAAAUUCCUUGUCGGGUAAGUUCCGACCCGCACGAAAGGUGUAACGAUUUGGGCACUGUCUCAACCAGAGACUCGGUGAAAUUAUAGUACCUGUGAAGAUGCAGGUUACCCGCGACAGGACGGAAAGACCCCGUGGAGCUUUACUGUAGCCUGAUAUUGAAUUUUGGUACAGUUUGUACAGGAUAGGCGGGAGCCUUUGAAACCGGAGCGCUAGCUUCGGUGGAGGCGCUGGUGGGAUACCGCCCUGACUGUAUUGAAAUUCUAACCUACGGGUCUUAUCGACCCGGGAGACAGUGUCAGGUGGGCAGUUUGACUGGGGCGGUCGCCUCCUAAAGUGUAACGGAGGCGCCCAAAGGUUCCCUCAGAAUGGUUGGAAAUCAUUCGUAGAGUGCAAAGGCAUAAGGGAGCUUGACUGCGAGACCUACAAGUCGAGCAGGGACGAAAGUCGGGCUUAGUGAUCCGGUGGUUCCGCAUGGAAGGGCCAUCGCUCAACGGAUAAAAGCUACCCCGGGGAUAACAGGCUUAUCUCCCCCAAGAGUCCACAUCGACGGGGAGGUUUGGCACCUCGAUGUCGGCUCAUCGCAUCCUGGGGCUGUAGUCGGUCCCAAGGGUUGGGCUGUUCGCCCAUUAAAGCGGUACGCGAGCUGGGUUCAGAACGUCGUGAGACAGUUCGGUCCCUAUCCGUCGUGGGCGUAGGAAAUUUGAGAGGAGCUGUCCUUAGUACGAGAGGACCGGGAUGGACGCACCGCUGGUGUACCAGUUGUUCUGCCAAGGGCAUAGCUGGGUAGCUAUGUGCGGAAGGGAUAAGUGCUGAAAGCAUCUAAGCAUGAAGCCCCCCUCAAGAUGAGAUUUCCCAUAGCGUAAGCUAGUAAGAUCCCUGAAAGAUGAUCAGGUUGAUAGGUUCGAGGUGGAAGCAUGGUGACAUGUGGAGCUGACGAAUACUAAUAGAUCGAGGACUUAACCAUAUAA